Molecule: long non-coding RNA, 4119 nt
Organism: Silurus meridionalis
Lineage: Eukaryota; Metazoa; Chordata; Actinopteri; Siluriformes; Siluridae
Exons: 3
Source: RefSeq, a predicted model, not a curated record
UAGCCCCGCCCCUUGCCGGGAAAUUAGCAGCCAUGCAGGCAGAAUGAGAGUGAACCUGACCGAGAGAAAAUGAUAGAUUAUUAAAAAGUUGAAUAUACAGCUGUGAUAUGUGGUUCAUCGGGAUAAAUCCGGGAAAAGGGCACCAAAGCUGUUAGGGUGAUAUCAAAGAAGAAAGAAAAGGUCACCCAGAAAAAGACCACCAACCCUCAUGUCUCCAGUCUGCUAAAAUAUAUUGUAUUUUAACUGGGACUUUAUAUAAGUAAUACACACCACACACAUAUGAGCAAACUUGCAUCACACAAAUAUCACAUACACGAGCAUCUUACACACACACACACACACACACAUGUGCAUAUUCACUAAAAAACCUAUACUCGGAUUAAGUCUUUCACUUAAUCUUUUUGUCCAGAGUUAAUCUUUUUAUUCACAUUUAUACUUAUCAUAUAAGCUUUGGGAUUUUGGUUUACCAUUUGUUUUAAUUUUAUACAAAUGUUCUGUAAGUCAGAAUCUGAUGUGGGGAAUAUUUUGAGUUAUUUUCUUUAAUGUUGUUUAGGUGUUAUUCUAAGAAAGUUUUCCAACAGUUUAAUAAAUAAUAAUAAUAAGUUUAAUUUAUAUAGCGCCUUUCCCAAGCUCAAGGACGCUUUACAAGGUCCAAUAUUUCAAGACAGAUGAAAUAUAAUGAACAUACUUAAACAUAUUCGUCGGACAUUUGCCCAGGACGAAGGAUCACAUGCAGCUGCAUGAGUUAAUAGCAGAGACAACACAGACACAAAAACAUACAGGACAAGAGAUAGAACACUACAUAGUACAUGAAACAUAAACCACAUUUCAGAAAAUGAAGGACUCCUAAUACAUAUGCAUUUACUUUAAGUGGAGGUUGAAAAGGUGGGUCUUAAGCCUUGAUUUAAAUUCAGUCAAAGUGGUGAUGGUUCUGAGUGCAAUGGGUAAGGAGUUCCAUAGUGUUGGAGCAAUGACAGAAAAGGAUCUGCCACCCGCAGAGGAUAGACGGUAUCUAGGAACACAUAGAAGUUCAGAAUUUGAAGACCGGAGUGAUCGUGAAGGAACAUAGGAUGAGAGAAGAUCGGAAAGAUGGGGGGGGGGAGCAUUUAGUGCCUUAUAAGUGAGCAGUAUGAUUUGAUAUUUUAUGUGAGAUGAGACUGGCAGCCAGUGAAGAUCAAAUAAUAUAGGGGUAAUGUGGGCAGAUUUUUUAUUGGAGGUUAACAUUCUGGCAGCCGAGUUUUGUAUGUACUGUAAACGUGAGAUUGAGUGAGCUGAUAAACCAGAGAAGAGUGAAUUGCAGUAGUCGAGACGGGACGUAAUCAGAGCAUGCACUAAUAUUUCUGCAUCAUUUCUGCAGAUAAAAGGUCGAAGUUUGACAAUGCGUUGCAGAUGGAAAAAAAGACGUUUUAGAGAGGCUGCGAAUAUGGGCAUCAAAGGAUAGUGAGGGGUCGAAUAUGAUACCUAAGUUUCUAACAAUAGCUGAGGGGAAAAUCGUAGUAGCAUCCAGAAAAAGACUAAAGUCCACAGAGUUGUUUUUUAUUAGAGAUGGGGGACCAGUUAUCAGAAUGUCGGUUUUACCCAGAUUCAGGCUAAGAAAAUUUGAGUGUAGCCAUAGUUUUAACUCGCUAACACAAGAGGAGAGUGAGGAUUUUACAUUAGGAGAAUCUGGUUGACAAGCAGUAUAUAACUGAAUAUCAUCAGCCUAACAAUGAUAACUAAAACCAUGUCAAUGAAUGAUGUUACCAAGCGGCUGAAUGUACAGAAUGAAUAGUAGUGGGCCAAGAACAGAGCCCUGUGGGACACCCUGUUUAGGUAAGAAAGUAGGAGAUUUGGAAUUGUGUAUAAAGAUGUGAUAUUGCCUGCCCGUGAGAUAAGAGGAAAACCAGGAUAGUGCAGAGCCUGAUAUGCCAAAUUCCGUGGGAAAGUAAGAUCUUAUGACAGACAGUAUCAAAGGCAGAGCUGAGGUCUAAUAACAGAAGUAUAGAGAGACUACCUGAGUCUCCAGUGAGUAAAAGAUCAUUAACAACCUUUACUAGCGCGGUCUUCGUGCUAUGCUGUUGGUGGAAGCCAGAUUGUAAAAUAUUGAAGAGGUUGUUACCAGCUAGGACUGACUGCAGCUGAGAGGCCACAGCCUUUUCCAUGUUCUUCGAUACAAAUGGCAGGUUGGAGAUAGGGCGGUAGUUGGAUAAGUCUGCUGGGUCCAGAUUAGUCUUUUUGAGUAUAGGAGUAACAGCAGCAGUCUUAAGUGACAGUAGAGGAGAUAAAUGACAUAUUAAUGAGGUGGGAGAUGGGGGCAGAAAUCGCCGAUGUACAGUCUUUUAGCAGGAAAGUAGGUGCAGGAUCAAGAGUGCAUGAUGAGAAGUUAGAUUUUUGUAUUAACUCUGAUUAAUGAGGAAUUGGUUAAGGCUAGGGUUGUCAUAGAAAUAUUAGAUUGAGGUUUCAUACGCACAUCGUUAGUUGGUUCCUCACCAAAUGUCGCAUACAGAGUAUCUAGCUUACCCUGAAAAUGGUUCAAGAAAGAGCAGCACAUAACCAUGGAUUCAGAGUCACUAAGGCUGUGCUUUGGUGCUUGAGUCAGUUUAUUAAUUGUGCUAAAUAAUAUUUUGGGCCUAUUGCUUGCUUUGUUAACGAUGCUGGUGAUAUGGGAAGAGCGGGCUGUAUUUAAGACCAGUUUGUAUUGCUGAAGGCAUUCAGCGUAUAUAAGAAAAUGGCCAGUUAACCCAGUUUUCCUGAACAGACGUUCAUGUUGUCUAUAUUAAAAGAAGAGAUGUUUUAAAACAACAUUUAAAGCUGCUUUAUUUCUGUUAGAUUUUAAGUCAAUAUUUCAUAGGGUACAUUUAUACACUGUAUACAUUUAUGGAUGUUGGCGUGUUGUGUGCUAAUCCCGGUUGUAGGACAUCGCAAAAGAUUUGUGUCAACAUGGAAAACACUUUAUAACUGCAAAGGAUUUGAUUUCUUUUAUUAAAGGUGUGUUUUGUGUUGUAGCAUGUGAGUGACACUUGUCAGAGAAAAAAAAGAGGUUUAGCAUAAUUCACACCACUGGCGGUUGAAGUAAACAAUAAUCUCUGAAUCAUGAAACAGAUUGUUUUUCUGACCUUUUACCAUCUUGUCAGCUGAUUUUGAGAAGGGGGAGGAAUGACAGGAGGUGUGUUCGACUUGAAGCGCCGCUGCACAGACUAAUCGGUUUCUGACAUCAAAGUGACGGGAGAGCAGUUUGAAAGCAGGUGGAGCAGACGGCAAUCUAAUAGUUCUCGCAGUACUUUGACGUCAUACACUGAAUGGUCUGCGCAGUUCCGCUUUAAGUCGAACACACCUACACCCUCAGUUAACAUGCGCGUGACCACAAGCACCGCAAUCCUUUACAUGACUCACAAAUCACAUUACCUGAUCAAAAAAUGCUUUCGCGCAAGUUUCUUUCAAAAGUCUGUUUUCUUUCCGUUUUUUUUUUUCCUGGGACAGUCCUGUAUUUCAGCUCUAUUUUAAAUAUCUCAACUUGUUAUGAAAAAAUGUUUGUUCUGUGUUUUUUCAUUUUUUCUAAAAUCACUGAAACCAGAUGUGUGCCUUGGUUGAAAACUGAUAUCACUGAAAAGUAUCCUAAACCAGGUUUAAAUCCUGUAAGUGGGUGACAACACUACUGAGGCCGGCGACGGGAAUAAAGGGAAGAGAGACGCCAACCUCCAGGAGAGAGAUCCCUGCGAGAUGUGUGUGUGUGUGUGUGUGUGUGUGUGUGUGUUGGUGUUGGUGUGUGUGUGCGCGCACGUGUGUGUGUAUUUGCAUAAACAGUGAAUUUAACUGAUCUGUUCAAAACUGGUCACUGUCCUGAGAGUGUUCCUUCCCCUGAAACGCUUGCCAUCCCACAGAAGGCAUGCUGUCUGCAUCAUCAGAAUUUUAAUUUGGUCAGAACUUGCUUGAACCCCCUGGAUUUCAACAUUAAACUCCAAAUCACAGCCAAAAGGGGCAAACUAACAUUCUCCAGACUAGUAGAGCUUGUUUGCACCUCAGAGUUGUCUACAAUAAUCCAAUUCCUGCUGUUCUCUUUUCCAGAAUGUGUUGUAUUUUUGUUUUGUAGGCAUUGUUAAUCACUACAGUAAAAAAAAAAUAAAAGACAUAGAAUGGCAG